GCCGGGCGUGGUGGCGGGCGCCUGUAGUCCCAGCUACUUGGGAGGCUGAGGCAGGAGAAUGGCAUGAACCCAGGAGGCGGAGCUUGCAGUGAGCCGAGAUCGCGCCACUGCACUCCAGCCUGGGCGACAGAGCGAGACUCCGUCUCAAAAAAAAAAAAAAAAAGAAAAAAUGUUCCUGGGGUCGACAAACUUUCUUUGUUUUGAGACGCAGUCUCACUCUGUCGCCCAGGCUGGAGUGCAGUGGCAUGAUCUCGGCUCACUGCAGUUUCUGCCUCCUGGGCUAAAGUGAUUCUCCUGCCUCAG
This 303-nucleotide signal recognition particle RNA is filed under the name Pan troglodytes (chimpanzee). RNAcentral's name for it is "Metazoan signal recognition particle RNA". It matches the Rfam family "Metazoan signal recognition particle RNA". Rfam says of the family: The signal recognition particle (SRP) is a universally conserved ribonucleoprotein. It is involved in the co-translational targeting of proteins to membranes. The record is from Rfam by way of RNAcentral. Lineage: Eukaryota; Metazoa; Chordata; Mammalia; Primates; Hominidae.